CAAGACUGCUUUCAGGACGAGA
This 22-nucleotide non-coding RNA is filed under the name Arabidopsis thaliana (thale cress). The record is from RNAcentral. Lineage: Eukaryota; Viridiplantae; Streptophyta; Magnoliopsida; Brassicales; Brassicaceae.